Molecule: ribosomal RNA, 455 nt
Filed under: Mogibacterium timidum
Lineage: Bacteria; Bacillati; Bacillota; Clostridia; Peptostreptococcales; Anaerovoracaceae
Description: bacterial SSU rRNA
Rfam family: Bacterial small subunit ribosomal RNA
Source: RNAcentral
GAUGAACGCUGGCGGCGUGCCUAAUACAUGCAAGUCGAGCGAGAAGCUUGGAAAUGACGCUUCGGUUGAUUUUCCAAGCGGACAGCGGCGGACGGGUGAGUAACGCGUAGGCAACCUGCCCCUGACAGGGGGAUAGCCAUUGGAAACGAUGAUUAAAACCUCAUGACACCGUAGUAGCACAUGCUACAUCGGUCAAAGAUUUAUCGGUCAGGGAUGGGCCUGCGUCUGAUUAACUGGUUGGUGAGGUAACGGCUCACCAAGGUGACGAUCAGUAGCCGACCUGAGAGGGUGAUCGGCCACAUUGGAACUGAGACACGGUCCAAACUUCUACGGAAGGCAGCAGUAGGGAAUCUUGCACAAUGGGCGAAAGCCUGAUGCAGCAACGCCGCGUGAAGGAUGAAGCCUUCGGGUUGUAAACUUCUGUUCUAAGGGAAGAAAGAAAUGACGGUACCUAG